Molecule: long non-coding RNA, 1026 nt
Filed under: Vitis vinifera (wine grape)
Lineage: Eukaryota; Viridiplantae; Streptophyta; Magnoliopsida; Vitales; Vitaceae
Description: long non-coding RNA (VVIN_LNC007115)
Source: RNAcentral
AUGGGGGAAUCCUUAACUAAGGUAGUACCUAGGGUCCCUUAAGGUAGUACCUAAGGGCCAUUAAGGUAGUACCUAAAGGCUCUUAACGUAGUACCUAAGGUACAGUCCCAAAAAACAAAGGGUGGACAACUUUAGCACACAAGAGAAGCACAUAAUGGCAUGGUAUAAGGGUCACAAAGGAAGGCUCGAGACUUGGGAGAGGUAGAAUUCAAGUUUAGUUAAGGUAGUGCCUAAGGUCCCCUAAGGUAGUACCUAAGGGCCAUUAAGGUAGUACCCAAGGGCUCUUAAGGUAGUACCUAAGUUACAGUCCCAAAAAACCAAUGGUGGACCACUUCAACACUGAAGAGAACCACAUAAUGGGAUGCUAUAAGGGUCACCAAGGAAGACCCGAGGCUUGGGAGAGGUUGAGUUCAAGUUUACUUUAAGGUAGUACCUAGGGUCCCUUAAGGUAGUACCUCAAGGUCACUAAGGUAGUACCUAAAGGCCCUUAAAGUAGUACCUAAGGUACAAUCCCAAAAACCCUUUGGUGGACCACUUCAACACUCAAGAGAACCAUAUAAUGGGAUGCUCUAAGGGUCACAAAGGAAGACUCGAGGCUUGGGAGAGGUUGAGUUCAUGUUUACCUUAAGGUAGUACCUAAGUUACAGUCCCAAAAAACCUUUGGUGGACCUCUUGAGCACUCAAGAGAACCACAUAAUGGGAUGCUCUAAGGGUCACAAAGGGGAACCCAAGAAGCAAAAUCCGGGAGAAAUUUGUUCCGGUUCACAUAUGAGUCUGUUGAGCUGGCCCAAGGGGAAGGCAUUUUCGGUAUGAAAUAACACCUCGGACCAGAGUGCAUGAAAAGGAAAAAUUUUCUUGAAAUAGUGGACAUAUCUUGGGUUAUGCAAACUUGGGUUUUGAAAACAAUAUUAUUGGGAAAUGGGGCCCCAAAACACAACUUUCCCUUCAUAAUUCCUGUGUUCAUGGUGUACUUCCAUUUUUGCUAGACACCUUCUAAUAAAAUUUUAUUUUCCUAUUAACAAAAAA